UUUAUUAUGAAAAUAGCGAUGGGACCAUAUCCGGUUGAUAAAACCCAUAAUAUCCGGUUGUUAAUAUUAACCCAAUAAAAAACUAAGCGCCACCUUUUUGUGUUUUUCCCUCGUUUUUUCACCCAAAACCGUUCCUGUUCUCUCAAAACCCUCACUAUGAGCGCAAACUCAAAACCUAGCCACUAUCCCUCUCCCUCUUCUCUGUCUCUGUGUAUGUGUGAGAGAGAAACUCAAUUUUCUCCGCCUCCAUCUGCCGCAGGGACUCUGUCCUAAUGAAUCAUCCAUUAAAAUGGUUAGGAUUGAGACAAUUGACUUGCUUGACUCGAUGGAAUGAGUGAACUUGCCGGGAUCGUGCUCAAGGAGGAGUAGCUGGUAAUUAUUGUUGCGUCACUAGCCCACAGUCGCCAUGUUGGUUCAAAACGAGUUUGUUAGGCGCUUGAAAAUGUGUGGAGAUUAUCAUAUUUAUUAUCGAUCUAUGAUUACUUCUCCAUUGAGCUUCAAAUAUGAUUCAGUUAAAUAGGCAUAGCUGCAUGUAGCCUUAUCAAUCAAAUAUGCACCAGGAAGUUGACAGAGUUCUUAUAUAUGAUAGAAUGCAUAUAAAGACAUCACUUUUGCCAUCUCUACCAGCAGGAGUUACCAAUAUGACGAGGACACCUCUGGAACCAAACCAGCCAGCAGUGGAUAGGACACAAGAAGACUGUCAACCAACCAGAACUGCUUCGUGAACGUAAACUAAAAUUAAGAAUUACAGUCUACAAGCUGGAGUCUGAAGAACCCCGCCACCCUUGAAGAAAGUGCAGAACAAUGGAAGCAAUUGGAGAUGUUAAAGAAUAACUUGAAGCACAGGAGGGGCCUACUUAGAUUUUGUUACAAUCUGUUUAGACAUGUCACAUGUGUAGAAACUGCAAUUUAAAUCUAUUGUUGGAGUUGAGCAAAUAUAAUUUCAUGUAAUCUGAAUGUGUAUAAUUUUUUUUAGUAAUGUGAUGAUUUAAUUCCUUU
Molecule: long non-coding RNA, 999 nt
Organism: Lycium ferocissimum
Lineage: Eukaryota; Viridiplantae; Streptophyta; Magnoliopsida; Solanales; Solanaceae
Exons: 5
Source: RefSeq, a predicted model, not a curated record